This 697-nucleotide ribosomal RNA is filed under the name uncultured bacterium. Its description in RNAcentral is "bacterial SSU rRNA". It matches the Rfam family "Bacterial small subunit ribosomal RNA", at positions 169 to 882 of the family's 1533-position model. The record is from RNAcentral.
CCGCGUAAGACCACACUUAGGCAUUUAAGAGAGUUCAAAGGAGUAAUCCGGUAAAAGAUGAGCCUGUGGCUGAUUAGUUAGUUGGUGGGGUAAGAGCCUACCAAGACGAUGAUCAGUAGCCGAGCUGAGAGGCUGGCCGGCCACAUUGGGACUGAGAUACGGCCCAGACUCCUACGGGAGGCAGCAGUUGGGAAUAUUGGACAAUGGAGGAAACUCUGAUCCAGUGACGCGGCGUGAAGGAAGAAGGUCUUCGGAUUGUAAACUUAUUUUAUCAGGGAAGAAGAAAGUGACAGUACCUGAAGAAAAAGGACCGGCAAACUACGUGCCAGCAGCCGCGGUAAUACGUAGGGUCCAAGCGUUAUCCGGAUUUACUGGGUGUAAAGGGCGAGUAGACGGCGCUGUAAGUCAGCUGUGAAAACUUAGGGCUCAACCUUAAGCCUGCAGCUGAAACUGUAGUGCUAGAGUGCAGGAGAGGUAAGCGGAAUUCCUAGUGUAGCGGUGAAAUGCGUAGAUAUUAGGAGGAACACCAGUGGCGAAGGCGGCUUACUGGACUGUAACUGACGUUGAGGCGCGAAAGUGUGGGGAGCAAACAGGAUUAGAUACCCUGGUAGUCCACACCGUAAACGAUGGAUACUAGGUGUAGGCGAGAUAUCGUCUGUGCCGGCGCAAACGCAAUAAGUAUCCCACCUGGGGAGUA